This 253-nucleotide ribosomal RNA is filed under the name uncultured bacterium. RNAcentral's name for it is "partial 16S ribosomal RNA". It matches the Rfam family "Bacterial small subunit ribosomal RNA", at positions 524 to 776 of the family's 1533-position model. The record is from RNAcentral.
UACGGAGGGGGCUAGCGUUGUUCGGAAUUACUGGGCGUAAAGCGCACGUAGGCGGAUUUGUAAGUCAGGGGUGAAAUCCCGGGGCUCAACCUCGGAACUGCCUUUGAUACUGCAAAUCUCGAGUCCGGAAGAGGUGAGUGGAAUUGCUAGUGUAGAGGUGAAAUUCGUAGAUAUUAGGAAGAACACCAGUGGCGAAGGCGGCUCACUGGUCCGGUACUGACGCUGAGGUGCGAAAGCGUGGGGAGCAAACAGG